UACGGGGGGGGGCAAGCGUUGUUCGGAAUUACUGGGCGUAAAGGGUUCGUAGGUGGCUUGCUAAGUCAGACGUGAAAUCCCUCAGCUCAACUGGGGAACUGCGUCUGAGACUGGCGAGCUUGAGUGCAGGAGAGGAAUGCGGAAUUCCAGGUGUAGCGGUGAAAUGCGUAGAUAUCUGGAGGAAUACCGGUGACGAAGGCGGCAUCCUGGACCGACAUUGACGCUGAGGAGCGAAAGCUAGGGGAGCAAACGGG
RNAcentral lists this ribosomal RNA (254 nucleotides) under uncultured bacterium. RNAcentral describes it as "partial 16S ribosomal RNA". It matches the Rfam family "Bacterial small subunit ribosomal RNA", at positions 524 to 776 of the family's 1533-position model. The record is from RNAcentral.